RNAcentral lists this long non-coding RNA (218 nucleotides) under Nicotiana benthamiana. RNAcentral describes it as "long non-coding RNA (NBEN_LNC040803)". Lineage: Eukaryota; Viridiplantae; Streptophyta; Magnoliopsida; Solanales; Solanaceae. The record is from RNAcentral.
ACAAAACAAAAACAGAAAGCAUUAGUGACUCCCGCAGAAAAUAGUGAAAAUAAUUAACUAAAAAUAAGAAACAUACAUACAAUCGCAGGCAAUAAAAUCAUGCAGUAACUACCAUAACUAACAGCCACAGGAGGGCACACUCUAACACACAAAUCAUCUAUGAGAAAACCUACUGACGUGCGAAGGACUCUAGUAGCCCCUAACCUACAACCCUGAUU